This 253-nucleotide ribosomal RNA is filed under the name uncultured bacterium. RNAcentral's name for it is "partial 16S ribosomal RNA". It matches the Rfam family "Bacterial small subunit ribosomal RNA", at positions 524 to 776 of the family's 1533-position model. The record is from RNAcentral.
UACAGAGGUCCCAAGCGUUGUUCGGAUUCACUGGGCGUAAAGGGUGCGUAGGCGGUCGAGUAAGUCUGAUGUGAAAUCUCCAAGCUCAACUUGGAAAUGGCAUCGGAUACUAUUCGGCUCGAGGAAUGGAGGGGAGACUGGAAUACUUGGUGUAGCAGUGAAGUGCGUAGAUAUCAAGUGGAACACCAGUGGCGAAGGCGAGUCUCUGGACAUUUCCUGACGCUGAGGCACGAAAGCCAGGGGAGCAAACGGG